GGCGGGGGUUUGGCGGGAACGCCGCCGCCGCCAUGUCAACUGUGGGCAAGCACCGGUAACGGCAGCGUCCCACCCGCCUCCCGGGCGGGAAGGAAUACCGGUUCCUGUCUGCAAGUAUGUGCUAAGCCAGACUUCAUCCAGGUGCUGGUACCAUCAUAUCAAAACGCACAGCAGUGUUACAUCGAAUACUAUAUGUAUUUAGCUCCAUUACUUUCAUCUGAACAGCCUCAAAGUGAAACUUCUGUAGAUUAAAACCAUUUAGUAAAGUAAGAUGAAAACCAUUUGGUAAAGUAAGAUCUAACCUGUGUCUACCACAGCGCUACGCACAUUCUCGUACUUUUAUUCAUCUAUUAUUGAAUACAGAAACAUCUCUUUCACAUCAUUUUAUACGAAUAUUUGAAACCAAAGUACAGUAGAAGGAGAAAACUGAUUCAUAGAGCUAUGAAAACGAGGCGGUGUCAUUUCCUAUCAGAUAUCACGGAAGAACUUUUUUCCAUCUUUACGUAGGUGUCAGGUGUCGCACGGGCUUGAGCAGUGUCAGCCCUUUUCUUUCAUGUCGGGACCGCAGUAAUGAUGAAAGAAAAAAAAAAAAAAAAAAGAUCCUGCAGAGCUGGAACAUGCUACCUUGAAGCUGCAGACAACCACAGCGAGCUGGCUGCGGUCUGCUCGGCUUGCUAAUGCCUACCCUCUGGAAAAGCAGGAAAGGUGGUUGCUGCAGCUGCUGCUAGAAGUGUUGCCGCUGUGUGAAUCCCGUUUGCACAGUCGGUUGAGACCAAUCGUACAGAUUUAAGGGUAUUUGGAAGUUUGUUAUGGAAACCUUUACAUGUCUUUCCUAGGCAUUGUACCCAGGAAAUAAUUUGCCAUGGAAAAACGUAACUGAAAGUAUUAUUGGUAGAGCUCACAUACUGCGGAUGUUUAACAUGAUAUUUAUCCACAAGAUUUUGCAUAAAGAUACACACUUAGUCACACUCUAAAGCUUGGAUCCUUUUCCUUUGAUUUUCCUGUGGCUGACAGCAAAGUUGAGAAUUUAUGUGGACGCAGAAUGUAAAUCACAGUCUUAAAGGCAAAGUUUGUACACUGGAUUUAAGAAAUGUUUAAAAAAUUAUAUGCAUUCACUAUGUGGCCAGCUUCUACAGAGAUGCUACUUAUUUGGCAAUUUUAAAGCAGUAUUUUGGUUUAAUUGACAUAAUGCUUUUAUCUAGGAUUAUUUCCAGACAAUAAAUUUGAUACAAGGGGUUUAAAUGACUUUUAAAUAAUUGAGAAAUCAUAUCUUAUUCCAGUACAUCUGUGAAACCAAAGUAAAUGUUUUUUGUCUCAGGCACACAUGUUAGUCUUCUAGGAACACAGACAUAAAAAAAUUAAAAUACUCCUAUGGGUUGUUUCAGAGUGAUGCAUUAACGUAUUUACUAUGACCUCGACAACACUGGAGACCACACAAGUAAGUCAUUGGUAACUCUUAAGAUGAGAAGUAUGCUGCUGUUGUAGCAAAAGUACAGCUGAGGUGGUUUUAAAUUUUCAUGUCAUGGAUAGUUUGUAAUACCGGUUGUGAGAAAAUACAUUUGUAAACAACACAAACCAGGGAGCAGAGAACACCACAAACCAUCUCUAUGAUUGUUCUUCAGCACAGCGCUGUACAGCUACUGAAAGUUUCCUUUCUUAGCUUCUUGUAUUUCUGAUUGCAGCUUUUUUUUUCCAGUCACGAUGUAAGGAACUGUAUUAUAUCUGGAAUUGGAGUGACCGAACUUGGAGACUUAAAAUAUCACAUCAUUGUAAUCCUGACAGCUGCAUUUAAUUGCAGAUAAUGUGCCUACAUUUUAAAAUAGAAAAUGAAGACAAGCAGUUACAUCACUUGCAUUUACUAUAUCUUUUUGCCAGAUGAGGCAAUUAGGAUUAUUUAUUUUAUGCUGUCCAAGAAUGUCUUAGAAAGUUAGGAAAACAUAUGGAUACGCACAGAGCAACUCCGGUUCCCACUCAAGUAAAUGGUAGCCGUUGUAGAGCCAGCAUUUAGUCCCGUCUUUGCUUACAGUCUAAACAGAGAUGCAAAGAAGGAAAGCAGUGAAAGGAAACAGAUAAGCCUAGGAAGGAGGAUAACAGCAGAGAUCCAAGUCUGAUUAAAGGGGAAGUCUGGUGUUUCCUUUUCCUUCCACUAGUUUAUAACUAGUGCUGCACAUUCACUAGCAGAAACUGUAAAUGCAGUACUGGUGUUUCGGGUUCAUCUUCAGCAAUGCACUCCAGGUGUUGAUUAUAGUCCGCAGUUACAGAACAAGGAUGCGCACAGGUAAUACUUUUAAGUCAAAGGAGAGAAGCCCUUAAACUUUUCAUUUCGGUUCUGUUUGGGUUCAGCCCUGACUAAAGUUCUUCCAGUUCAGUUCUGGUCCGAGUUCAGUAAAACUUCAGAAGGAUGGUUUGGUCCUAUUCCAGUUUUAGGGACAAAGAGAUAGAGAUAUAGAUACGCACACACAUAUUUGAGCCAGUUUGGGUUCAGCUCAACUCCCCACUAACUCUGCUCAAAUCUCAAAGCUAACCAUGUAGAUUAAAAAAGUAUUUACUAGACUUUGUAGAUCGGUGGACCACAGCCAAUCCUGCACAUCAGUAUCAUCAGACUUUUAGACUUCAGACCUCAUUCUUACUGUUUCUGUGGAUUGGGGAAUCACCGGUGGUCAUCAUGCCACACUUUUGAGGACUGCUGAAUUCGGGGUAGCAAGUCCAAAUCUGUGGGAACCAAGCUAAGCGGCAUCUCUUCUGACUACGCUGUUCUCUUUACAUGUGGGUUAUUCCAGGUCAGAAUACCAGAUUUUUAAAUUUAACUUACACUUUUUUUAAAGCUCACUUAAAAGUCCCAAAUCUUUUUAGAAACUCUGUACAAUAAUGAGAUGUAAAAAAAAAAAAAAAAAAGCUUUUGAGAGGAUCCUUUGUGCUAAUUAAGAGUCAAGCUGUAUGCUAGCAUGUACAUAUUUUCUUUGUUUUCUACAGACUAAUUUGUUUCUGCUGAUAACAAGAGCCAAAAUGUGUUUUUAAAACUAGUGCAAGCAGAUUUAAUCUAUUAGGACUAUGCUGUUUUCAAUUGUCUGUAGGACAGCAUUCCAACUUUAAGGACAAAAGAAAAGAAAUAUGAGCCUCUAGAUUUGUUUAUUAAAAACACAUCUAUUUGGUUAAAUCUCUCACAAAACCUCUGAAAUGAAGAUGGAAAAAAAGAAACACAUAUUAUAUGGUUGCCUGUCAUUUUCAGAAAGAAGAGCACAGAAAACACUUCUGAAUGUGAUGUAUCUCAAAACCACUGAAAAUAUAAGUCAGGGUGGCCCAAACUCGGUGGCCUGAAGACCAGAUGAGGGUCUUGCAAGCCAUUGCUGUCCACUGCCGUCCCAGGCAAUAAUGCCUUCCCUUCCUCCCUCUCCUCUUCCUCCUCACCCUGGUCCCCUUUGCAAGCGUGGCCCUCCCUAAUGCCAACAUCCAGGGCUCCCGCGCCAGCCACCAAAAACCAGGCUGAUGCCAAGGACGGGACGAUUUUGGUAUGGAAAGGUUGCCCAACUUGUAGACGGAGCUUAGGCGUGCUGUGCUGGGUGCCAGCAGGGUUUGAGGGCACUGGACUGUGGCUUGGGAGGGGGUGUCACUCUUCAGGUGGCAUUUGGUACUCCAAAAGUGAUUCCUUAUCACUCCUGAGAAAAGGUGACGGGCAGGACUGAAGUGCCUCACCGAAGGGGAACAGCCCCCCGGCUGCUGCUCAGAUUAUUCUGAUACUUCAUAACUUCCCAUUCAUUGAAAUAGUAAAGGCUUUAAAUUAAAUGCAGUUUGAAGAGAGCAAUGAAUACAAAAUGUAGGUGACAUGUCAUGAACUUCCUUAAAAGUAUUGUUUUAUUAAAAGGCAUGCCCAGCAUGUAGCUAAAAUAUAGCAUGGAACGUUUCAAAACAUCUUAAACAUCAGGUUUGAAGUGACUGUGUAGUGUCUAUACAUUCACCUUUGUUUCAGUAAUAAAAAUAAGUGUUUAUUAGCUGUACUGCAAUGACUUAAUGCUGUUUACUUUGAUACAAAUAAUCUCUAGCCAAAUGUUGAAUGCAGAAUAGUUGUAAGAAAAGAAGCAGGCAUCAAAUGCAAAACUUUUGGAUUCAUUCCAGAAAAAAAAAAAAGAAUCUCUGCAAUGAAUUAAUUGUAAUAAAAACCCUGCAAUUAAUAUUUGCAAAA
Long non-coding RNA from Aquila chrysaetos chrysaetos, 4180 nucleotides. RefSeq lists it as uncharacterized. The record is from RefSeq and is a predicted model, not a curated record. The transcript is spliced from 2 exons. Lineage: Eukaryota; Metazoa; Chordata; Aves; Accipitriformes; Accipitridae.